UGCGAGUUGAAUGGGAUACCUAUAUUUCCCAUAGCGAACUGCUCAGUAACACAUGAUCAACUUACCCUAUAGAGAAACAUAACCUCGGGAAACUGAGGAUAAUAUUUCAUAGUUGAAUAGGCUUGGAAAAGUUUUUCAAUAAAAGAGAUAAAAAAAAUGGUUUUUAUCUGCUAUAGGAUAGGAUCGUGGACGAUUAUGGUUGUUGGUGAGGUAACGGCUCACCAAGCCGAUAAUCGAUAGGGGCCGUGAGAGCGGGAGCCCCGAGAUGGGUACUGAGACAACGACCCAGGCCUUACGAGGCGCAGCAGGCGCGGAACCUCCGCAAUACACGAAAGUGUGACGGGGUUACCCAAAGUGUUCAAUUUUGAACUGUGGUAGGUGAGUAAUGUUCCCUACUAAAAAGGGAGAGGGCAAGGCUGGUGCCAACCGCCGCGGUAAAACCAGCUCUUCAAGUGGUCGGGAUAAUUAUUGGGCUUAAAGUGUCCCGUAGCCGGUUUAGUAAGUUCCUGGUAAAAUCGGAUAGCUUAACUAUCUGUAUGCUAGGAAUACUGCUAUACUAACAGGGCGGGAGAGGUCUGAGGUACUACAGGGGUAGGGGUGAAAUCUUAUAAUCCUUGUAGGACCACCAAUGGCGAAGGCGUCAGACUGGAACGCGC
RNAcentral lists this ribosomal RNA (656 nucleotides) under uncultured archaeon. RNAcentral's name for it is "bacterial SSU rRNA". It matches the Rfam family "Archaeal small subunit ribosomal RNA", at positions 52 to 690 of the family's 1478-position model. The record is from RNAcentral.